RNAcentral lists this unclassified non-coding RNA (211 nucleotides) under plant metagenome. RNAcentral describes it as "partial contains small subunit ribosomal RNA, internal transcribed spacer 1, and 5.8S ribosomal RNA". The record is from RNAcentral.
UUUCCGUAGGUGAACCUGCGGAAGGAUCAUUCAUAAUAAUGUGUUUUAUGGCACUUUUUAAAAAUCCAUAUCCACCUUGUGUGCAAUGUUAGAUCUCGUCAAUCUUGGCGAGAUUUUUAUACAUCAACUCAUUCUUUAACUAAUUUGUCUGAAAAAUAUUAUGAAUACUUAAUUCAAAAUACAACUUUCAACAACGGAUCUCUUGGCUCUC